Erythranthe guttata (spotted monkey flower) is the source of this 1231-nucleotide RNA transcript. It is a transcript of the gene named protein ALWAYS EARLY 1-like, with no coding region annotated. Lineage: Eukaryota; Viridiplantae; Streptophyta; Magnoliopsida; Lamiales; Phrymaceae. The record is from RefSeq and is a predicted model, not a curated record.
AAUAACACGUGAUUUCAAAAUUAGAGUGGGGGAAAGUACAAAUAUCAAAUACUUCAGGGACUGAGAAUGCAAUUAAACAACCCUUAGCAAAAACAAACAAAUUUCAUAAUUCCACCCGCAUUUCUCUCUCUAAAACACUCCCUUUUCUCUCUCUAAAAUCUCACUUCUAUCUCCGAGAAUUCGUAAUCUCAUCUCUUUCGCCAACAAUUAAUUAUUCACCAAUUUCGAAUCUGCAGCUUUUCCGAUACUGUGAAUUUUCAAUUCAUCGACAAGGUUCAUAGUUUAGCAGAUAAUGGUGCUCCCAAGAAAGUGUAGAAGUGUGAAUAACCGCUGUUCUUCGAUCCCUAAAUUAUCUCUUACCAAAGCUGGAGAUGGUGCUCAAAGAAGCAUCAGCAGGAGAAGAAAUUUGGCUGACAAACUUGGGCCUAAGUGGACCGUGAAAGAGCUAACUCGUUAUUACAACUCUUACUACAAGAACGGUAAAGAUUGGGAAAAGGUUGCCGAUGCUGUAAGAAAUCGAUCUUUGGAAAUGGUGGAAGCCCUUUACACAAUGAACAGGGCGUAUUUAUCUCUUCCACGCGUAGCUACGUCUGCAGCUGCGUUGAUUUCUAUGAUGGCUGAUCACUACAGAAAUUCGGCAUAAAGCGACAGUGGCUAAGAGGGCAAUCUUUAAUAUGCAUAGCUUUAGCUUUUUCCAGAUUCUUUUCUGGACCAUGGUAGUGUUUUUGAGGAGGAUGAAGAUUGAAGAUGACGAAACUGUGUUCAAUUGAAAGAAACAUGGAUCGUUGGUCGGUAAAAAACCCUACUGUAAAAAUUCCCACGAAUUGAAACUAUGUACAAUGAGCCGAAAUAUCCAUGGUAAAUUGUCUGAAAUGCAAAUCAAAUCGGUCUCGGAAUCCGAAUCUGAAUCAGAUUCUGCUGUUCCUCCAUCUUUGGUCAAAACCCUAAAACCCUUUGUCGAUGGAAGUAGGGGAAUCAUGAUAAUUCGAAAUAAGGCUAUGGUAAAUAUUUAUUAUAUUAUAUUUUGGAAUUAGUCGAAGAAUUAUUAAAUGUGGUGGGAACAAAAAGAAAUUGAUUUUCGACGAACACUUUCUAGUUCGAUCUCGUCGUAUUCUGUUUACGCUUUUCGUACGGUUUGCGAGCUUGUACGAGAGUUUCUUUCGUAAAGGUACAAUAUAAUGGAGAUAUGUACAAAAGUAGAAGCAUAUUUUAUUUAUAUGUACCUAAAUCC